GCCAGGGUGGCGUAGUGGUUAGCGUAUCUGCCUAGUGAGCAGGAGUCCCGGAUUCGAAUCCCGUCCUUGGUA
Molecule: non-coding RNA, 72 nt
Organism: Schistocerca gregaria
Lineage: Eukaryota; Metazoa; Arthropoda; Insecta; Orthoptera; Acrididae
Source: the annotation of a RefSeq genome assembly